This 543-nucleotide ribosomal RNA is filed under the name Salmonella enterica subsp. enterica serovar Enteritidis. RNAcentral describes it as "partial 23S ribosomal RNA". It matches the Rfam family "Bacterial large subunit ribosomal RNA", at positions 663 to 1204 of the family's 2925-position model. The record is from RNAcentral. Lineage: Bacteria; Pseudomonadati; Pseudomonadota; Gammaproteobacteria; Enterobacterales; Enterobacteriaceae.
GAGCCGGAGGGAAACCGAGUCUUAAUUGGGCGUUAAGUUGCAGGGUAUAGACCCGAAACCCGGUGAUCUAGCCAUGGGCAGGUUGAAGGUUGGGUAACACUAACUGGAGGACCGAACCGACUAAUGUUGAAAAAUUAGCGGAUGACCUGUGGCUGGGGGUGAAAGGCCAAUCAAACCGGGAGAUAGCUGGUUCUCCCCGAAAGCUAUUUAGGUAGCGCCUCGUGAAUUCAUCUCCGGGGGUAGAGCACUGUUUCGGCUAGGGGGCCAUCCCGGCUUACCAACCCGAUGCAAACUGCGAAUACCGGAGAAUGUUAUCACGGGAGACACACGGCGGGUGCUAACGUCCGUCGUGAAGAGGGAAACAACCCAGACCGCCAGCUAAGGUCCCAAAGUCAUGGUUAAGUGGGAAACGAUGUGGGAAGGCCCAGACAGCCAGGAUGUUGGCUUAGAAGCAGCCAUCAUUUAAAGAAAGCGUAAUAGCUCACUGGUCGAGUCGGCCUGCGCGGAAGAUGUAACGGGGCUAAACCAUGCACCGAAGCUGCG